ACGCGAAACCGCCCUUUGGGGCGGUCGGUCUGGCGCGGCGGCCAGGCCCUGAUGAGCGAGCCUUUG
This 66-nucleotide non-coding RNA is filed under the name Spirochaetes bacterium GWB1_59_5. The record is from RNAcentral. Lineage: Bacteria; Pseudomonadati; Spirochaetota.